RNAcentral lists this ribosomal RNA (458 nucleotides) under uncultured bacterium. Its description in RNAcentral is "partial 16S ribosomal RNA". It matches the Rfam family "Bacterial small subunit ribosomal RNA", at positions 338 to 795 of the family's 1533-position model. The record is from RNAcentral.
CCUACGGGGGGCAGCAGUGAGGAAUAUUGGUCAAUGGGCGAGAGCCUGAACCAGCCAAGUCGCGUGAGGGAGUACUGCCCUAUGGGUUGUAAACCUCUUUUGUCGGGGAGCAAAAGCCGGACGUGUCCGGCUGUGAGAGUACCCGAAGAAAAAGCAUCGGCUAACUCCGUGCCAGCAGCCGCGGUAAUACGGAGCAUGCGAGCGUUAUCCGGAUUUAUUGGGUUUAAAGGGUGCGCAGGCGGAUUUUUAAGUCAGCGAGAAAAUCGUGGGGCUCAACCCCAUCCAGCCGUUGAAACUGGGGAUCUAGAGUGUGCGAGAGGUAUGCGGAAUGCGUGGUGUAGCGGUGAAAUGCAUAGAUAUCACGCAGAACCCCGAUUGCGAAGGCAGCAUACCGGUGCACAACUGACGCUCAGGCACGAAAGCGUGGGUAUCGAACAGGAUUAGAUACCCGGGUAGUC